UCGAGAAUUUUUGACAAUGGGGGAAACCCUGAUCGAGCGACGCCGCGUGGAGGAUGAAGGUCUUCGGAUUGUAAACUCCUGUCAUUGGGGAACAAUGCCCCGGUAUUAACUGUAUCGGGGUUGAUAGUACCCGAAGAGGAAGAGACGGCUAACUCUGUGCCAGCAGCCGCGGUAAUACAGAGGUCUCAAGCGUUGUUCGGAUUCAUUGGGCGUAAAGGGUGCGUAGGCGGCGUGGUAAGUCGGGUGUGAAAUCUCGGAGCUUAACUCCGAAACUGCAUUCGAUACUGCCGUGCUUGAGGACUGGAGAGGAGACUGGAAUUUACGGUGUAGCGGUGAAAUGCGUAGAUAUCGUAAGGAAGACCAGUGGCGAAGGCGGGUCUCUGGACAGUUCCUGACGCUGAGGCACGAAGGUCAGGGGAGCAAACGG
This 427-nucleotide ribosomal RNA is filed under the name uncultured bacterium. RNAcentral describes it as "bacterial SSU rRNA". It matches the Rfam family "Bacterial small subunit ribosomal RNA", at positions 355 to 775 of the family's 1533-position model. The record is from RNAcentral.